Molecule: ribosomal RNA, 459 nt
Filed under: uncultured Flexibacter sp.
Lineage: Bacteria; Pseudomonadati; Bacteroidota; Cytophagia; Cytophagales; Flexibacteraceae
Description: bacterial SSU rRNA
Rfam family: Bacterial small subunit ribosomal RNA
Source: RNAcentral
GCUCAGGAUGAACGCUAGCGGCAGGCUUAAUACAUGCAAGUCGAACGGGUGUAGCAAUACAUUAGUGGCAGACGGGUGCGUAACACGUAUGCAAUCUACCUUUCACAGGGGGAUAACUCAGGGAAACUUCAGCUAAUACCGCAUAACAUUAGGUAAGGCAUCUUACUUAAUUAAAAUCUACGGAGGUGAGAGAUGAGCAUGCGACCGAUUAGCUAGUUGGUAGGGUAACGGCUUACCAAGGCGACGAUCGGUAGGGGAUCUGAGAGGAUGACCCCCCACACUGGUACUGAGAUACGGACCAGACUCCUACGGGAGGCAGCAGUAGGGAAUAUUGGGCAAUGGAAGGAAUUCUGACCCAGCCAUGCCGCGUGCAGGAAGAAUGCGCUAAGCGUUGUAGACUGCUUUUAUCAGGGAAGAAAAGAGGGUGCGCCCAUAAUUGACGGUACCUGAUGAAUAAGC